CCUAGGGGGGUAGCAGUAGGGAAGUGUGCGCAAGGGGCGAAAGCCGGACGCAGUAACGACGCGUGAACGAGACGCCAUUCGGGGUGUAAAGAUCUGUCAGUGGGGACGAAAAAUGACGGUACCCACAGAGGAAGCACCGGCUAACUCCGUGCCAGCAGCCGCGGUAAUACGGAGGGUGCAAGCGUUGUCCGGAAUCAUUGGGCGUAAAGAGUUCGUAGGCGGCAUGUAAAGUCAGGUGUUAAAGGCGCAGGCUCAACCUGUGUAUGGCACUUGAUACUUGCAAGCUGGAAUGCGGUAGAGGUAAAGGGAAUUCCUGGUGUAGCGGUGAAAUGCUUAGAUAUCAGGAGGAACAUCGGUGGCGUACGCGCUUUACUGGGCCGUAAUUGACGCUGAGGAACGAAAGCCAGGGUAGCAAAUGGGAUUAGAUACCCCAGUAGUC
This 439-nucleotide ribosomal RNA is filed under the name uncultured bacterium. Its description in RNAcentral is "partial 16S ribosomal RNA". It matches the Rfam family "Bacterial small subunit ribosomal RNA", at positions 338 to 795 of the family's 1533-position model. The record is from RNAcentral.